Molecule: long non-coding RNA, 528 nt
Organism: Lolium perenne
Lineage: Eukaryota; Viridiplantae; Streptophyta; Magnoliopsida; Poales; Poaceae
Source: RefSeq, a predicted model, not a curated record
AAUCCCCAGUUUUCCCUAAUUAACCAUUUGGUACUGGAGUUUUGGCCAAAACAAUCCCCGGUCAUCCCCGGAAAACCCCAUCCCCGAUCCGUUUUUGCCUUGCACGCAAUCCCCUACCCACACCUCGCGUAUUAUCCCCGUCCCCAUUCAAACCCUAUGCACGCAAGCGAGCGGCGGCGACGGGAUCGGAGCUGCAGGUCGGGCGGAGCAUCUAACCGACGAAUACAAGGAUGGAUCUCUCCGAGCUGCUCCACAACGCCGCCGCCGUUGUUGGAAUUUGACCGGCGAUGCCACUUCCCGUUGGUCAUGUGCUCCGAUCUGUGUUUUUCUCUUCUACAAGUGUGACGGUUAAGGUUGCUCUCUUGCUUGAGGUUUUGCAGCAGAAACUCUUGGAACCAAAGAGCUGGAGCUUGAAAUCUACUUUAUGGUCAAAUUUCUUCUUCUACCUUUGAUCGGUAGUUAUUUGUGUUGGACUGCAGGGCAUCAUCCACCCAUCAUUUUGAAAUGUACCUGCAGCUGCUAAUUGGC